GGAGACGUGGCUGAGUGGCUGAAAGCGGCGGUUUGCUAAACCGUUGUACUCCAAAAGGGUACCACAGGUUCGAAUCCUGUCGUCUCCGCCA
This 91-nucleotide transfer RNA is filed under the name Escherichia coli. RNAcentral's name for it is "tRNA-Ser". It matches the Rfam family "tRNA". Rfam says of the family: Transfer RNA (tRNA) molecules are approximately 80 nucleotides in length. Their secondary structure includes four short double-helical elements and three loops (D, anti-codon, and T loops). The record is from RNAcentral. RNAcentral also lists the same sequence under 11 other names. Lineage: Bacteria; Pseudomonadati; Pseudomonadota; Gammaproteobacteria; Enterobacterales; Enterobacteriaceae.